RNAcentral lists this ribosomal RNA (520 nucleotides) under Cestopagurus timidus. Its description in RNAcentral is "partial 16S ribosomal RNA". It matches the Rfam family "Bacterial large subunit ribosomal RNA", at positions 1834 to 2604 of the family's 2925-position model. Lineage: Eukaryota; Metazoa; Arthropoda; Malacostraca; Decapoda; Paguridae. The record is from RNAcentral.
UAUAUGAAGUUAUAUAUAGUUUAACCUGCUCACUGAAUAAUUUAAAGAGCCGCAGUAUUCUGACUGUGCGAAGGUAGCAUAAUAGAUUGUCCUUUAAAUGGGGGCUAGAAUGAACGGUUGCACAAAGUAUCAUCUGUUUCUUCAAUAAAACUUGAAUUUAACUUUUAAGUUAAAAGGCUUAAAUAAAAUUUAAGGACGAUAAGACCCUAUAAAUCUUUACAAAAGAAUAUUUUAAUUUUUAAAUAAUUAGUUCUUAGAAACUAAAUUAUAAAUUUGUUUUACUGGGGCGGUAUAGAUAUAUUAAUAAACUGUCUAUAAUAUAAAAUCAAUAAAUUGUUGAUUAGAAGUGUUGAUCCUUGAAUAAGAUUAAAAGAUUAAGAUACUUUAGGGAUAACAGCGUUAUUUUUUCUGAGAGUUCAUAUCGAAGAAAAAGUUUGCGACCUCGAUGUUGAAUUAAAGUUCCUUUAUGGUGCAGCAUUUAUACAAGGAAGUCUGUUCGACUUUUAAUACUUUACGUGAU